AGGAGGUUAGCUGAGUGGUUUAGCAGUAAUUUUACACAUUGCAGACAGAGUUUCGAUUACUCUACUUCCUA
Coprinopsis cinerea okayama7#130 is the source of this 71-nucleotide transfer RNA. It matches the Rfam family "tRNA". From Rfam's summary of the family: Transfer RNA (tRNA) molecules are approximately 80 nucleotides in length. Lineage: Eukaryota; Fungi; Basidiomycota; Agaricomycetes; Agaricales; Psathyrellaceae. The record is from Rfam.